UACGGGGGGGGCAAGCGUUGUUCGGAAUUACUGGGCGUAAAGGGCUCGUAGGCGGCCAACUAAGUCGGAUGUGAAAUCCCCAGGCUUAACCUGGGAACUGCAUCCGAUACUGGAUGGCUUGAAUCCGGGAGAGGGAUGCAGAAUUCCGGGUGGAGCGGUGAAAUGCGUAGAUAUCAAGAGGAACACCUGAGGUGAAGACGGGUUGCUGGGCCGACACUGACGCUGAGUGCGCGAAAGCCAGGGGAGCAAACGGG
RNAcentral lists this ribosomal RNA (254 nucleotides) under uncultured bacterium. RNAcentral describes it as "partial 16S ribosomal RNA". It matches the Rfam family "Bacterial small subunit ribosomal RNA", at positions 524 to 776 of the family's 1533-position model. The record is from RNAcentral.